UACGGAGGGAGCAAGCGUUACUCGGAAUUAUUGGGCGUAAAGGGCGCGUAGGUGUUUGAGCAAGUCGGUUGUGAAAGCCCGAAGCCUAACUUCGGAAGGGCAACCGAUACUGCACAAAUUGAGUUCCGGAGAGGAAGGCAGAAUUCCCGGUGUAGCGGUGAAAUGCGUAGAUAUCGGGAGGAAUACCAGUGGCGAAGGCGGCCUUCUGGACGGAUACUGACGCUGAGGCGCGAAAGCCAGGGGAGCAAACGGG
Molecule: ribosomal RNA, 253 nt
Filed under: uncultured Acidobacteriota bacterium
Lineage: Bacteria; Pseudomonadati; Acidobacteriota
Description: uncultured Acidobacteria bacterium partial 16S ribosomal RNA
Rfam family: Bacterial small subunit ribosomal RNA
Source: RNAcentral